This 274-nucleotide ribosomal RNA is filed under the name uncultured bacterium. Its description in RNAcentral is "partial 16S ribosomal RNA". It matches the Rfam family "Bacterial small subunit ribosomal RNA", at positions 523 to 796 of the family's 1533-position model. The record is from RNAcentral.
AUACGGAGGUUGCGAGCGUUAAUCGGAAUUACUGGGCGUAAAGCGCGCGUAGGCGGCUAAGUAAGUCGGAUGUGAAAGCCCUGGGCUCAACCUGGGAAUUGCACUCGAUACUGCUUGGCUAGAGUAUGGUAGAGGGUAGUGGAAUUCCGGGUGUAGCGGUGAAAUGCGUAGAGAUCCGGAGGAACACCAGUGGCGAAGGCGGCUUCCUGGACCAAUACUGACGCUGAGGCGCGAAAGCGUGGGGAGCAAACAGGAUUAGAAACCCCGGUAGUCC